Molecule: ribosomal RNA, 433 nt
Filed under: uncultured bacterium
Lineage: Bacteria
Description: partial 16S ribosomal RNA
Rfam family: Bacterial small subunit ribosomal RNA
Source: RNAcentral
AGCGAACGCUGGCGGCAGGCCUAACACAUGCAAGUCGAACGAACCUUUGGGGGUAAUGGCGGACGGGUGGGGAACACGGGGGGACGGGCCCUUCGGGUCGGAAUUACCCAGGGGAACUUGUUCUAAUACCGAAUGUGGCCCUCGGGGGAAAGAUUAAUCGCCUUUAGAGCGGCCCGCGUCUGAUUAGCUAGUUGGUUUAGGUAAUGGCUCACCAAGGCGACGAUCAGUAGCUGGUCUGAGAGGAUGAUCAGCCACAUUGGGACUGAGACACGGCCCAAACUCCUACGGGAGGCAGCAGUGGGGAAUCUUGCGCAAUGGGCGAAAGCAUGACGCAGCCAUGCCGCGUGAAUGAUGAAGGUCUUAGGAUUGUAAAAUUCUUUCACCGGGGACGAUAAUGACGGUACCCGGAGAAGAAGCCCCGGCUAACUUCGUG